UGGGCGUAAGGGCUCGCAGGCGGUUUCUUAAGUCUGAUGUGAAAGCCCCCGGCUCAACCGGGGAGGGUCAUUGGAAACUGGGGAACUUGAGUGCAGAAGAGGAGAGUGGAAUUCCACGUGUAGCGGUGAAAUGCGUAGAGAUGUGGAGGAACACCAGUGGCGAAGGCGACUCUCUGGUCUGUAACUGACGCUGAGGAGCGAAAGCGUGGGGAGCGAACAGGAUUAGAUACCCUGGUAGUCCACGCCGUAAACGAUGAGUGCUAAGUGUUAGGGGGUUUCCGCCCCUUAGUGCUGCAGCUAACGCAUUAAGCACUCCGCCUGGGGAGUACGGUCGCAAGACUGAAACUCAAAGGAAUUGACGGGGGCCCGCACAAGCGGUGGAGCAUGUGGUUUAAUUCGAAGCAACGCGAAGAACCUUACCAGGUCUUGACAUCCUCUGACAAUCCUAGAGAUAGGACGUCCCCUUCGGGGGCAGAGUGACAGGUGGUGCAUGGUUGUCGUCAGCUCGUGUCGUGAGAUGUUGGGUUAAGUCCCGCAACGAGCGCCACCCUUGAUCUUAGUUGCCAGCAUUCAGUUGGGCACUCUCAGGUGACUGCCGGUGACAAACC
RNAcentral lists this ribosomal RNA (608 nucleotides) under Bacillus mojavensis. RNAcentral describes it as "bacterial SSU rRNA". It matches the Rfam family "Bacterial small subunit ribosomal RNA", at positions 555 to 1164 of the family's 1533-position model. Lineage: Bacteria; Bacillati; Bacillota; Bacilli; Caryophanales; Bacillaceae. The record is from RNAcentral.